CACUCCUACGGGAGGCAGCAGUGGGGAAUAUUGCACAAUGGGCGCAAGCCUGAUGCAGCCAUGCCGCGUGUAUGAAGAAGGCCUUCGGGUUGUAAAGUACUUUCAGCGGGGAGGAAGGCAAUACGGUUAAUAACCGUGUUGAUUGACGUUACCCGCAGAAGAAGCACCGGCUAACUCCGUGCCAGCAGCCGCGGUAAUACGGAGGGUGCAAGCGUUAAUCGGAAUUACUGGGCGUAAAGCGCACGCAGGCGGUCUGUCAAGUCGGAUGUGAAAUCCCCGGGCUCAACCUGGGAACUGCAUUCGAAACUGGCAGGCUUGAGUCUUGUAGAGGGGGGUAGAAUUCCAGGUGUAGCGGUGAAAUGCGUAGAGAUCUGGAGGAAUACCGGUGGCGAAGGCGGCCCCCUGGACAAAGACUGACGCUCAGGUGCGAAAGCGUGGGGAGCAAACAGGAUUAGAUACCCGAGUAGUCCCAU
This 473-nucleotide ribosomal RNA is filed under the name uncultured organism. Its description in RNAcentral is "partial 16S ribosomal RNA". It matches the Rfam family "Bacterial small subunit ribosomal RNA", at positions 334 to 798 of the family's 1533-position model. The record is from RNAcentral.